This 126-nucleotide microRNA precursor is filed under the name Theobroma cacao (cacao). RNAcentral describes it as "mir-399 microRNA precursor family". It matches the Rfam family "mir-399 microRNA precursor family". Rfam says of the family: mir-399 was identified in both Arabidopsis thaliana and Oryza sativa computationally and was later experimentally verified. mir-399 is thought to target mRNAs coding for a phosphatase transporter. Lineage: Eukaryota; Viridiplantae; Streptophyta; Magnoliopsida; Malvales; Malvaceae. The record is from Rfam by way of RNAcentral.
AGUUGCAUUACAGGGCAAAUCUUCACUGGCAGGCAGCCACUUUGGCUUACCAUCACCUUUCAUGCUUAUUUAUUUUUUUUUUUUAUUGUGCUCUCUGCCAAUGGAGAUUUGCCCAGCAAUUCCACU